GCGUUUAUGACGACUCUUGCACCAGGAGAGAGGAGAUCCUCAAGCCAUUGCAGCUAUCUUUUCUGCCUCAAUCUGAUUUAGCUCUGCGCUUUUCCACCCAUGCCCGGUCUCUUGCCACAGCAGCCAUCUUUCUUCCUGUCCGUUCAGCCUCCUUCCUCUUCAUAGCAGCAGAAUAUUGUGCUUUACGCUUCCUCUUCUUAGCCUGCCCAAACAACAUGAAUGAAUGAACGUAAGCAAUAAUUAUAAAUAUAGAAUUCAGGUCUGGGUUAUUAACUAGACAUAUGGACAGAUCAUAAGUGAACAGAAUAACAACAGAAGUUUGGUAUACAACUACAGUACAUUAUAACAAGACAAGUUUUUGAAUCUAUCAAGCAUCAAGGUAAGCUUUCAUGAUCAUAGAAAUGAAGGUGUUUGUAUUAGCGCAAUGCUUUAAUCAGUAGGGUCUUUCCCAUCUAUGAUCAAGGUCGAUUGUGUCAGCUCUGUUGUGGCGUUCAUGUAUAUCGAGGCUUAUUUUUUAAGCAUGCCUAGGGUUUUGUUCCUGUUUGUGUUGAUCUGAACAUGUGCUCUGUUCAUGUAGAAGAGCUCAUAUGAAUCUGUCUUAGGGAAAUAAUUGAGUACAUGUGAUCAGUAUGUUAGCCAAAACUGAACAUUUGAUCUCUAUUGAACUGAAAGGAUUGUAUAUUUGAUCUCUGUUUAACUGAAAAGAUUGAACCCUUACUUUUGAUCUCUGUUUAAGUUUAAAAAUUCAGCUGUUCCACAAACCUUCUAUAGUUCAGAAACUGAAUCUUUAGAUGUACUCUGUUUUAGUGCAGAAAAUGAAUUUUAGUGCACAAACUGAAUUAGUACAGAAACUGAAAAGACUAAACCUUUACUUUUGAUCUCAUUUAAGUUUAAAAAUUCAGAUGUUCCACAAACCUUCGAUAGUUCAGAUACCGGACCUUUACAUAUACUCUGUUUUAGUGCAGAAAAUGAAUUCUAGUGCAGAAACUGAAUUAGAACAGGAACUGAAAAGACUGAACAUUUACUGUUGAUCUAUGUGUAAGUUUAGAAGUUCAGCUAUUCCACAAAUAUUCUUUAGUUUAGAUAGUGAAUAUUUAGAUACACUCUGUUUUAGCGUAGAAAAUGAAUUUUAGCGCACAAACUGAAUUAGCGCAGAAACCAUUGCAACAACUGAUUUUUGGUUUCUUUGCUUUCUUUAAGUGCAGGAAUUUAUUUAUUUUCUUUCCGGAGCCCUGUGACCAGAAGAAUUGGGGAUCUCGAGAGGGAAUUUUGCAGUUGUGGCCAUUUUAAAAAUAGACCUCUGUGAAAUCUAUGUAUUCCUGAUACUAUUAUAUCAUGCUGCAUUUCCUGUGAUAUAUCAAAUAUCUAUCAUUUGUCCUAAACAAGAGGCCUUACAUUUAUACUGAGCAUUACUAAUUUGGUCAGUAUAUAAUAUUGCAAUGCUUAUAACCCUUUGGUCAGUGGCCCAUCUGAAUUGAGAUGCAUCAUAGUUAUCUUAAUACUAUUUGUUCUGUUUCUUACUCAUUGAUCCAUCCCACACAACAAGUAUUCUUCCUGAGAAGUAUGCUCAGAUAGUUGAAUAUAUUGUUUUGUACUUAAUUGUUGAAAGAUGGAUUUGUAUUACUAAUGCUGAGAUGGGCAUUACAAUUUUCUUUCAAGGGAACAGACCAAACCAAACUGCGACCUUAUUUGUCAAUAUUUGAAAUUUAUAUUAUGUCUCUUAUGUGAUCUCAGAGAACUUAAUUUUUGUGUGGGGACCUCAAGCUACCUUUAGUGACUUACAAGCUAUAUCAACCAACAAGAGUUUUCCCUGCUUUUGGAGCCUGCUAAGCUAUCAACAAACAAAGAGGUACUAUGCUGAGACUGAAGAGGAUGCUAGCCAGCGGCCCACCUCUCUUGCCGUCACCGCUGAGCCGCCAUGUCUCCUUCAGAGGCUUAUUGUAUUGCUACAUGUUUAUGCUUCUUAUCCACUCACCCAUUGUAGUGUAGGUCUGUUGCGGCAAUUGAAUGCUUCAAAGGAUUUUAAUGGAGUUCAUUGUAGCUGAGUCGCAAAUCUCCAGCUUGCUUUCAUGUCUUUUCUCACUAGAGACAUCACCUGCCGGCGACGGCGAUGACCGCUACCCUGCUCCUCUCCCGGCAAAGGCAUGGCUACCUCUCCUGUGAAGUUAAGGCCAUCUUUGCCUCUUCCUUCAGUUUUUCCUCUGUUUUUUGUUACACGACUUUGUGGUGCUUAGUGUAUAUAUCAUUCCCCCCUGUCCAUUAAUUGAACAACUCUGCUACAUGUGAUUGCAUUAGCAAACUCCAUUUUUGUGUAUGUAGAAAAACAAAGGAAACUCCAUUUUUGUGUAUGUGGAAAAAACAAAGGAAACUGCAUUUUUGUGUAAUUACAAACAAAUGAAACUCCAUUUUUUUGUAAUUACAAACAAGAGACUUUUAGACGGCGAAGACUGCUGCCCUGAUCCUAAGAGCCUACUGACAUUUCACCAAAUCUUGUUAUAAUUUUUUUUAUCAGCAGCAGAUACUUUUAAAUUUGUCUUUACAAUUCCAAGUACAUGAUCAUACUGAUCCUUCUUUUUUUGAUGUAGCAGAACAAACGUUCGUAAUUUAUACACCUAGGCUCAGCUUCUCUAUAUUGAUACGAAGGCCUGGAGCAUGUUUCUUUUGUUUUCAACUCGAGAGGGCCAGAACCUGGCGGCGCAAUAGCAGCUCAACUACUAUUGUUAUUAAUCAGGAUAAAUGCUUCUGCUUUUCAUCGGCCGGUAAACAUGCUAAGUUUGCCUGGCUGGCACACAUGCCUAGGCACAACAAUCUGCCCCAGCACCGCACGGCAAGGCGCGCUGCAGGUCAUUUAUAUAGCAUCUCCUCAUUUGUAUAUUAUUCACAUAUAGCAUCUCAUUUCUUGGUUGAUUGCUUACAUGUAUUCAACUUCUGGCUCUUUCGCUCCCAAGCUGGCCUCCCUCUCCUUGGUGCUCAGCGGCAGAAGCACGAGGCGCUGCACCUUUGACCCCGUAGUGCUCGGCUCCAAUUCAUCAGGGAGGCCACCGGCAAGCAUGAAGCUGCCCUUGGUGCUUCCUCCUCAUCAAGGAGGAGGAGGUCGGGUAGCGCCGUCCUCAAGGACAGGCACAACCGCGACACCGCAGAGACGGGCGAGGAUGUGGUGCUGCUCCUUCUUGUGGUGUAUGCAUUGGCGUUGCUUGCGGUAGUGAUGCAUAUCUUCGUGGGCAAUGCUAUUUGAAGACCAUUCAAGUGAUUUAAGGGAGAAGAUGUCCAGAAUGUAAGGAGGUUGAAGAUGACGACCAAAAGGUUGACAUAUUAAGCGGCUGCCAAGAAGCCAAUAAUUUGCCCCCUGCCAUUAGUAAUACCCGCUCUUCUUUAUGAAAUCUUUCCUAACUAUCGUUGCAGAUUGUGAGAUCCCUAUUUAAAUACAUCACUCAGCGUCUGUCCGGUACAGAGUUGCAUGGCAGGCAUAUGUGUUCUCAGCCACCUUAUCAAUUGUAGGCUUAGAAUGAUUUGCUUCGUCCAAGUGUUGUUCGUCAACAAUUUUUUUGUUUGUCCAUGUCAAUUCUGAUUUUAGAGGAUACCUAUGUUUUGGUAGGAAGUGUAUUGUUCUUAUGUUUUUUCCUGGUAUGUACUGACUGAUGCAGUAAUUGAUGUUUUAGAUUAUGAA
Triticum dicoccoides is the source of this 3667-nucleotide long non-coding RNA. RefSeq lists it as uncharacterized. Lineage: Eukaryota; Viridiplantae; Streptophyta; Magnoliopsida; Poales; Poaceae. The record is from RefSeq and is a predicted model, not a curated record. The transcript has 5 exons.